UGGGUGCUUGUUACUGGAUAGCACACGAGUUCUUACGAGCUUGUGGGGUAUGGUAAUCAAGACAUACCCAGCACGUAAUUUUUGUAGCCACUGUGGCUCCCAUUACCAUAAUGUGGUAAACAC
Small nuclear RNA from Diabrotica virgifera virgifera (western corn rootworm), 123 nucleotides. RefSeq annotates it as U11 spliceosomal RNA. Lineage: Eukaryota; Metazoa; Arthropoda; Insecta; Coleoptera; Chrysomelidae. The transcript has a single exon. The record is from RefSeq and is a predicted model, not a curated record.